This 190-nucleotide ribosomal RNA is filed under the name uncultured bacterium. RNAcentral's name for it is "partial 16S ribosomal RNA". It matches the Rfam family "Bacterial small subunit ribosomal RNA", at positions 1303 to 1500 of the family's 1533-position model. The record is from RNAcentral.
GUCUGCAACCCGACUCCAUGAAGCUGGAUUCGCUAGUAAUCGCGCAUCAGCCACGGCGCGGUGAAUACGUUCCCGGGCCUUGUACACACCGCCCGUCAAGCCAUGGAAGCCGGGAGUGCCUGAAGUGCGUGAGCGCAAGCAGCGCCCUAAGGUAAAACCGGUGACUGGGGCUAAGUCGUAACAAGGUACC